RNAcentral lists this ribosomal RNA (494 nucleotides) under uncultured bacterium. RNAcentral's name for it is "partial 16S ribosomal RNA". It matches the Rfam family "Bacterial small subunit ribosomal RNA", at positions 31 to 507 of the family's 1533-position model. The record is from RNAcentral.
GAACGCUGGCGGCGUGCCUAAUACAUGCAAGUCGAGCGAACAGACGAGGAGCUUGCUCCUCUGACGUUAGCGGCGGACGGGUGAGUAACACGUGGAUAACCUACCUAUAAGACUGGGAUAACUUCGGGAAACCGGAGCUAAUACCGGAUAAUAUAUUGAACCGCAUGGUUCAAUAGUGAAAGACGGUUUUGCUGUCACUUAUAGAUGGAUCCGCGCCGCAUUAGCUAGUUGGUAAGGUAACGGCUUACCAAGGCAACGAUGCGUAGCCGACCUGAGAGGGUGAUCGGCCACACUGGAACUGAGACACGGUCCAGACUCCUACGGGAGGCAGCAGUAGGGGAUCUUCCGCAAUGGGCGAAAGCCUGACGGAGCAACGCCGCGUGAGUGAUGAAGGUCUUCGGAUCGUAAAACUCUGUUAUUAGGGAAGAACAAAUGUGUAAGUAACUAUGCACGUCUUGACGGUACCUAAUCAGAAAGCCACGGCUAACUACGUG